Molecule: ribosomal RNA, 523 nt
Filed under: Vibrio vulnificus
Lineage: Bacteria; Pseudomonadati; Pseudomonadota; Gammaproteobacteria; Vibrionales; Vibrionaceae
Description: bacterial SSU rRNA
Rfam family: Bacterial small subunit ribosomal RNA
Source: RNAcentral
AGUGGGGAAUAUUGCACAAUGGGCGCAAGCCUGAUGCAGCCAUGCCGCGUGUGUGAAGAAGGCCUUCGGGUUGUAAAGCACUUUCAGUAGGGAGGAAGGUGGUAGUGUUAAUAGCACUGUCAUUUGACGUUACCUACAGAAGAAGCACCGGCUAACUCCGUGCCAGCAGCCGCGGUAAUACGGAGGGUGCGAGCGUUAAUCGGAAUUACUGGGCGUAAAGCGCAUGCAGGUGGUUUGUUAAGUCAGAUGUGAAAGCCCCGGGCUCAACCUGGGAAUUGCAUUUGAAACUGGCAAACUAGAGUACUGUAGAGGGGGGUAGAAUUUCAGGUGUAGCGGUGAAAUGCGUAGAGAUCUGAAGGAAUACCGGUGGCGAAGGCGGCCCCCUGGACAGAUACUGACACUCAGAUGCGAAAGCGUGGGGAGCAAACAGGAUUAGAUACCCUGGUAGUCCACGCCGUAAACGAUGUCUACUUGGAGGUUGUGGCCUUGAGCCGUGGCUUUCGGAGCUAACGCGUUAAGUAGA